This 128-nucleotide small RNA is filed under the name Marmota monax (woodchuck). Lineage: Eukaryota; Metazoa; Chordata; Mammalia; Rodentia; Sciuridae. The record is from RNAcentral.
GUCAGGUGCAGUGGUGCACGCCUGUAAUCCCAGCAACCCAGGAGGCUGAGGCAGGAGGCUCACAAGUUCAAGGUCAGUCCCAGCAAUUUUAGAGAGAUCCUAAGCAACUUAGCAAGACCCUGUCUCAA